CAGUCGCCGCGGUAAUGCGAAGGGGGCUAGCGUUGCUCGGAAUGACUGGGCGUAAAGGGUGCGUAGGCGGUUUGAUAAGUUUGAUGUGAAAUCUCUGGGCUCAACCCAGAGUCUGCAUCGAAAACUGUCGGGCUUGAGUAUGGGAGAGGUGAGUGGAAUUUCCGGUGUAGCGGUGAAAUGCGUAGAUAUCGGAAGGAACACCUGUGGCGAAAGCGGCUCACUGGACCAUUACUGACGCUGAUGCACGAAGGCUAGGGGAGCAAACAGGAUUAGAUACCCCGGUAGUCCCUGUCUCUUAUAC
RNAcentral lists this ribosomal RNA (301 nucleotides) under uncultured bacterium. RNAcentral describes it as "partial 16S ribosomal RNA". It matches the Rfam family "Bacterial small subunit ribosomal RNA", at positions 509 to 807 of the family's 1533-position model. The record is from RNAcentral.